This 434-nucleotide ribosomal RNA is filed under the name uncultured bacterium. RNAcentral's name for it is "bacterial SSU rRNA". It matches the Rfam family "Bacterial small subunit ribosomal RNA", at positions 957 to 1391 of the family's 1533-position model. The record is from RNAcentral.
GAACGCGAAGAACCUUACCCACCUUUGACAUGUAUGGAAUUUGCCAGAGAUGGCUUAGUGCUCGAAAGAGAGCCAUAACACAGGUGCUGCAUGGCUGUCGUCAGCUCGUGUCGUGAGGUGUUGGGUUAAGUCCCGCAACGAGCGCAACCCUUGUCAUUAGUUGCUACAUUUAGUUGGGCACUCUAAUGAGACUGCCGGUGACAAACCGGAGGAAGGUGGGGAUGACGUCAAGUCCUCAUGGCCCUUAUAGGUGGGGCUACACACGUCAUACAAUGGCUGGUACAGAGGGUUGCCAACCCGCAAGGGGGAGCUAAUCCCAUAAAGCCAGUCGUAGUCCGGAUCGCAGUCUGCAACUCGACUGCGUGAAGUCGGAAUCGCUAGUAAUCGCGGAUCAGCAUGUCGCGGUGAAUACGUUCCCGGGUCUUGUACACACC